This 96-nucleotide transfer RNA is filed under the name Cupriavidus pinatubonensis. Its description in RNAcentral is "tRNA-Lys". Lineage: Bacteria; Pseudomonadati; Pseudomonadota; Betaproteobacteria; Burkholderiales; Burkholderiaceae. The record is from RNAcentral.
UCGGCCUCGGCGCGCAGGCUCGGCAUGUCGCGCUUCUUGCGCGCGGCGGAGACUUCGUCGGCCUUGACGGCCAGGAUCUUGUCGAGGAUGUCGGAC